GACGGUACUUGAGGAAUAAGCCACGGCUAAUUCCGUGCCAGCAGCCGCGGUAAUACGGGAGUGGCAAGCGUUAUCCGGAAUUAUUGGGCGUAAAGCGUCCGCAGGCGGCCUGAUAAGUCUGUUGUCAAAGCGUGGAGCUCAACUCCAUUUCGGCAAUGGAAACUGUGAGGCUUGAGUGUGGUAGGGGCAGAGGGAAUUCCCGGUGUAGCGGUGAAAUGCGUAGAUAUCGGGAAGAACACCAGUGGCGAAGGCGCUCUGCUGGGCCAUAACUGACGCUCAUGGACGAAAGCCAGGGGAGCGAAAGGGAUUAGAUACCCCUGUAGUCCUGGCCGUAAACGAUGAACACUAGGUGUCGGGGGAAUCGACCCCCUCGGUGUCGUAGCCAACGCGUUAAGUGUUCCGCCUGGGGAGUACGCACGCAAGUGUGAAACUCAAAGGAAUUGACGGGGGCCCGCACAAGCGGUGGAGUAUGUGGUUUAAUUCGAUGCAACGCGAAGAACCUUACCAGGGUUUGACAUCCUACGAAUCCCUUGGAAACUUGGGAGUGCCUUCGGGAGCGCAGUGACAGGUGGUGCAUGGCUGUCGUCAGCUCGUGUCGUGAGAUGUUGGGUUAAGUCCCGCAACGAGCGCAACCCACGUCUUUAGUUGCCAGCAUUCAGUUGGGCACUCUAGAGAGACCGCCGGUGAUAAACCGGAGGAAGGUGUGGAUGACGUCAAGUCAUCAUGCCCCUUACAUCCUGGGCUACACACGUACUACAAUGCUACGGACAAAGGGCAGCAAACUCGCGAGAGCUAGCAAAUCCCAUAAACCGUGGCUCAGUUCAGAUCGUAGGCUGCAACUCGCUUACGUGAAGGAGGAAUCGCUAGUAAUCGCAGGUCAGCAUACUGCGGUGAAUACGUUCCCGGGCCUUUGUACACACCGCCCGUCACACCAUGGAAGUUGGCCACGCCCGAAGCCGUUACUCCAACCCUUGUGGAGGAGGACGU
RNAcentral lists this ribosomal RNA (987 nucleotides) under uncultured cyanobacterium. RNAcentral's name for it is "bacterial SSU rRNA". It matches the Rfam family "Bacterial small subunit ribosomal RNA", at positions 471 to 1456 of the family's 1533-position model. Lineage: Bacteria; Bacillati; Cyanobacteriota. The record is from RNAcentral.